RNAcentral lists this ribosomal RNA (939 nucleotides) under Triticum aestivum (bread wheat). RNAcentral's name for it is "partial small subunit ribosomal RNA". The record is from RNAcentral. Lineage: Eukaryota; Viridiplantae; Streptophyta; Magnoliopsida; Poales; Poaceae.
GUCUUCUCUAUUUGGAAUUUUGAUGGGGCAAAUGUGUUCAAGCAAAUAGUUGAAGCAACCAACCAUUUUAGCGAGAUGCAUUGCAUAGGAACAGGGGGGUAUGGAUCUGUCUAUAAAGCUAUACUUGCAACAGGAGAAAUAUUUGCAGUGAAGAAGAUACACAUGAUAGAAGAUGAGUGUUGCGUGAAUGAGCAGCUAUUCAAUCGUGAAGUUGAGGCAUUGGUGCAGAUUCGUCAUCGAAACAUCGUGCAACUUUUGGGUUAUUGUUCCUCUAGCCAAGGUAGGUUCCUUAUCUAUGAAUAUAUGGAGAGAGGAGACUUGCCAAAAAUGUUGAAGGACAAUGAAAGGGCAAUUGAAUUGGAUUGGAGAAGGCGGAUAUGUAUUGUAUUGGAUGUGGUUCAUGCUUUGGCAUACAUGCACCAUGAUUGUUUGUCAACAAUAGUCCAUAGAGACAUAACAAGCAACAAUAUUUUGCUUGAUCAAGAAUUUAGAGCCUGCAUCUCUGACUUUGGUACAGCUAAAAUACUCAAUAUUUAUGGCCAAAAUCUCACAAGGCUAGCUGGGACGAAAGGCUACCUUGCCCCAGAGCUGGCAUAUACAGAAAACGUGACGGAGAAAUGUGAUGUAUACAACUUCGGAGUGCUUGUUUUGGAGCUAUUUAUGGGAUCUCAUCCAGGCGAUUUGCUCUCAUCCCUCUCGUUGGCCACCAAGAACAAUUUUGUGUGCAUGCAGGAUCUGCUGGACUCCAGGCUUGCCCUCCCGGAUGCUGAAUCCGCCAUAGAAAUAUACUGCAUGCUCAGUGUCGCAGUUCGGUGCCUGGAGCCGCUUCCAUCCCGCAGACCAACGGCGCGACGUGCCAGCGACGAGCUAUCUACGAUUAAAGCUUGUGAAGAUCAUGUUGAUUAUUGGCACACCGGCAUGACCUUUCCUGUGAUGUAG